AGGUAGUUGGUGAGGUAAUGGCUCACCAAGCCUUCAACGGGUAGCCGGUGUGAGAGCACGACCGGCCACAAGGUCACUGAGACACGGGACCUACACCUACGGGUGGCAGCAACCAGGAAUAUUGCGCAAUGGGCGAAAGCCUGACGCAGCGACACCGCGUGUGGGAUGAAGCUCUUCGGAGUGUAAACCACUGUGGCAAGGGAAUAAUUUGACUGUACCUUGCUAGAAAGCACCUGCUAACUACGUGCCAGAAGCCUCGGUAAUACGUAGGGUGCAAGCGUUAUCCGGAUUUAUUGGGCGUAAAGGGUUCCGUCGGCGGUUUGCCAAGUUUCAUCUUAAAUACUGGGGCUCAACUUCGGAUACAGGGUGGAAAACUAGCAGACUUGAGUUUGUUCGGGGUAACUGGAACUCUCGGUGUAGGGGUGAAAUCCGUAGAUAUCGAGAGGAACGCCAAUCGCGAAGGCAGGUUACUAGGACAAUACUGACGCUCAUGGACGAAAGCUUGGGUAGCAAAAGGGAUUAGAGACCCCUGUAGUCCAAGCUGUAAACGAUGCUCGCUAGCUGGUUGGUCUUCGGACUGACUGGCGUAAGCUAACGCGUAAGCGA
This 606-nucleotide ribosomal RNA is filed under the name uncultured bacterium. RNAcentral describes it as "bacterial SSU rRNA". It matches the Rfam family "Bacterial small subunit ribosomal RNA", at positions 243 to 867 of the family's 1533-position model. The record is from RNAcentral.